RNAcentral lists this ribosomal RNA (1901 nucleotides) under human gut metagenome. RNAcentral describes it as "bacterial LSU rRNA". It matches the Rfam family "Bacterial large subunit ribosomal RNA", at positions 3 to 1991 of the family's 2925-position model. The record is from RNAcentral.
UCAAGCUAUAAAGAGCAUAGGACGAAUGCCUUGGCAUCAGGAGCCGAAGAAGGACGCGAUUAACUGCGAUAAGCCUCGGGGAGCUGUAAAUAAGCGCUAUAUCCGGGGAUUUCCGAAUGGGGAAACCCACACGGAGAAGAUCCGUGUAUCCUUACAUGAAUUCAUAGUGUAAGGAAGGGAACCCGCUGAACUGAAACAUCUAAGUAGGCGGAGGAAGAGAAAUCAAAAGAGAUUCUGCGAGUAGUGGCGAGCGAAAGCGGAAGAGGCUAAACCGAACACAGCAAUGUGAUCGGGGUUUCGGACUGAAUAAGGGAGCAAGGAGCUUAGGAGAACGGCAUGGGAAGGCCGACCGGAGGAUGUGAGAGUCAUGUAUCCGAAAAGCGAAAUGCCCCGACAGGAUCCAGAGUACCAGCGGACACGAGGAAUCCGCUGGGAAGACGGGGGGACCACCCUCCAAGCCUAAAUACUACCUGAUGACCGAUAGAGGAGAAGUACUGUGAAGGAAAGGUGAAAAGAACCCCGGGAGGGGAGUGAAAGAGAACCUGAAACCCUAUGUUUACAAGCACACAAAGCGCGUUAAAGCGCGAUGUGGUACUUUUUGUAGAACGGUCCGGCGAGUUAUUGUACGCAGCGAGGUUAAGUACUUCAGGUACGGAGCCGCAGGGAAACCGAGGGUUAAGAGCCCGUAUAGUUGCGUGUAAUAGACCCGAAACCGGGUGACCUAUCCAUGAGCAGGUUGAAGUGAGGGUAAAACCUCAUGGAGGACCGAACCGACCCCCGUUGAAAAGUUGGCGGAUGACUUGUGGAUAGCGGAGAAAUUCCAAUCGAACCCGGAUAUAGCUGGUUCUCCCCGAAAUAGCUUUAGGGCUAGCCUUGCAGUAAGUUUACCGGAGGUAAAGCACUGAAUAGAGGAGGGGCCGAGAGGUUACCAAUUCUUAUCAAACUCAGAAUGCCGGAUAAAUAUAUGCAGGAGUCAGACUACGUGAGAUAAGUCUCGUGGUCAAAAGGGAAACAGCCCAGACCUACAGCUAAGGUCCCCAAUGUAUGCUAAGUGGAGAAGGAUGUGACGAUGCUAAAACAACUAGGAUGUUGGCUUAGAAGCAGCCACUCAUUCAAAGAGUGCGUAAUAGCUCACUAGUCGAGUGCCGUCGCGCCGAAGAUUUAACGGGGCUGAAGCAUACAACCGAAGCUUAGGCAGUAGAAAUACUGGGUAGGGGAGCGUUCUCAUCGGGGUGAAGCAUCACCGGAAGGAGGUGUGGACUGAUGAGAAGUGAGAAUGCCGGAAUGAGUAGCGAGAAUUGCGUGAGAAUCGUAAUGGCCGAAAAUCUAAGGUUUCCUGGGGUAGGUUCGUCCGCCCAGGGUAAGCCGGGGGCUAAGGCGAGGCCGAGAGGCGUAGUCGAUGCACAUACGGUAGAGAUUCCGUAGCCUCCACAAUUUAAGUACACGGACACACUUAUGAAGUGCUGACCGGGCGUUGGUUGACCCGGAACGAAAGCGACUGAAAUAUAGUAAGGAAGAUGCAUGACAGGGUGGCGAGAAAAGGUGUAUGUAUAGAAGUGGAGCCCGUACCGCAAACCGACACAGGUAGAUGAGGAGAGAAUCCUAAGGCCAUCGGGAGAAGGGUUGUUAAGGAACUCGGCAUAUUGACCCCGUAACUUCGGGAGAAGGGGUGCCUGCGCAAGCAGGCCGCAGUGAAAAGGCCCAGGCAACUGUUUACCAAAAACACAGGUCUCUGCAAAAGCGUAAGCUGAAGUAUAGGGGCUGACGCCUGCCCGGUGCCGGAAGGUCAAGGGGAUUGCUUAGCGCAAGCGAAGGCAAGAACUUAAGCCCCGGUAAACGGCGGCCGUAACUAUAACGGUCCUAAGGUAGCGAAAUUCCUUGUCAGGUAAGUUCUGACCCGC